Long non-coding RNA from Zingiber officinale, 312 nucleotides. RefSeq lists it as uncharacterized. The transcript is spliced from 3 exons. The record is from RefSeq and is a predicted model, not a curated record. NCBI's taxonomy places the organism in Eukaryota, Viridiplantae, Streptophyta, Magnoliopsida, Zingiberales, Zingiberaceae.
UAACGCCGCCCGAUUUCUGACUGUCGUCUCUGCCUUCGAUUGCCACCCAGUGGUACAACCCUAGUUGUAGCCUUACUUCAGUUGAGUUUUUGGGCAUUAGGGUUUCCAGCAUCAGCCUUGUCCGGUCCUUGGUCGUUGCAGGCAGUAAAGGAAGAGCUAAAAUUCCUUAACGGCAGAAAUUUCCAGCCAACAACUCUUUGAUAUCAGUACAAACUAGUGGCUGUGAGAUUCAACUGAGACAUUCAACUCAGGACUUUGACGCGAGACGAGUAUCUCGGAGUCAGAUUGGACCUUUCUAUUUUCGGAGGCUGG